This 224-nucleotide ribosomal RNA is filed under the name uncultured bacterium. RNAcentral describes it as "partial 16S ribosomal RNA". It matches the Rfam family "Bacterial small subunit ribosomal RNA", at positions 15 to 231 of the family's 1533-position model. The record is from RNAcentral.
GAUCUGGCUCAGGAUGAACGCUAGCUACAGGCUUAACACAUGCAAGUCGAGGGGCAGCAUGGUCUUAGCUUGCUAAGGCCGAUGGCGACCGGCGCACGGGUGAGUAACACGUAUCCAACCUGCCGUCUACUCUUGGGCAGCCUUCUGAAAUGAAGAUUAAUACAAGAUGGCAUCAUGAGUCCGCAUGUUCACAUGAUUAAAGGUAUUCCGGUAGACGAUGGGGA